GUGGGGAUAGCUCAGUGUAGAGCGCCGGAGCAAUCCGGAGGUCAGGGGUUCAACUCCCUUUCCCCAUA
RNAcentral lists this transfer RNA (68 nucleotides) under Gemmata sp. SH-PL17. It matches the Rfam family "tRNA". From Rfam's summary of the family: Transfer RNA (tRNA) molecules are approximately 80 nucleotides in length. The record is from Rfam by way of RNAcentral. Lineage: Bacteria; Pseudomonadati; Planctomycetota; Planctomycetia; Gemmatales; Gemmataceae.